RNAcentral lists this unclassified non-coding RNA (376 nucleotides) under uncultured fungus. RNAcentral's name for it is "partial contains 5.8S ribosomal RNA and internal transcribed spacer 2". The stretch from base 1 to 133 matches the Rfam family "5.8S ribosomal RNA", at positions 22 to 154 of the family's 154-position model. Lineage: Eukaryota; Fungi. The record is from RNAcentral.
UGGUUCCCGCAUCGAUGAAGAACGCAGCAAAACGCGAUAGGUAAUGUGAAUUGCAGAAUUCCGUGAAUCAUCGAAUUUUUGAACGCACAUUGCGCCUACUGGUAUUCCGGUAGGCAUACCUGGUUGAGCAUCAAGCAAACAGAUCGGCAGAAUAUAAAAAAUGCCCAGUGAAAUUAAUAUAUCAAAUUUGAGAUUGAAUUAGUAUAAUCUAUUUCAAACUUUAAAGCCGCUGCACAAGCUACUCUCCGGUAAGGUAUAUGGAUUGGUGUUAAAUUAUCUUCCGUUACCGUCAGGAUGAAGCUUUUGUGUUAAAUUCGAAGAUGUCCUUUACAGACAACUUAGUUCUGAUAUCAGAUCAGGUAAGGAUACCCGCUGA